GAACCGGAGCUAAUACCGGAUAAUAUUUUGAACCGCAUGGUUCAAAAGUGAAAGACGGUCUUGCUGUCACUUAUAGAUGGAUCCGCGCUGCAUUAGCUAGUUGGUAAGGUAACGGCUUACCAAGGCAACGAUGCAUAGCCGACCUGAGAGGGUGAUCGGCCACACUGGAACUGAGACACGGUCCAG
This 186-nucleotide ribosomal RNA is filed under the name uncultured Staphylococcus sp. RNAcentral's name for it is "partial 16S ribosomal RNA". It matches the Rfam family "Bacterial small subunit ribosomal RNA", at positions 154 to 334 of the family's 1533-position model. Lineage: Bacteria; Bacillati; Bacillota; Bacilli; Caryophanales; Staphylococcaceae. The record is from RNAcentral.